This 310-nucleotide ribosomal RNA is filed under the name uncultured crenarchaeote. Its description in RNAcentral is "bacterial SSU rRNA". It matches the Rfam family "Archaeal small subunit ribosomal RNA", at positions 33 to 348 of the family's 1478-position model. Lineage: Archaea; Thermoproteati; Thermoproteota. The record is from RNAcentral.
UCAGAGUGAGAUUAAGCCAUGCGAGUUAACGUAGCAAUACGUGGCGCACGGCUCAGUAACACGUAGUCAACAUGCCCAGAGGACGUGGAUAACCUCGGGAAACUGAGUCUAAACCGCGAUAAGUSAGGAUUUCUGGAAUGGUUCCUGACUAAAAUCUAUAUGGCCUCUGGAUUGGACUGCGGCCGAUCAGGCUGUUGGUGAGGUAAUGGCCCACCAAACCUGUAACCGGUACGGGCUCUGAGAGGAGGAGCCCGGAGAUGGGCACUGAGACAAGGGCCCAGGCCCUAUGGGGCGCAGCAGGCGCGAAACC